Molecule: ribosomal RNA, 427 nt
Filed under: Eucinostomus gula (jenny mojarra)
Lineage: Eukaryota; Metazoa; Chordata; Actinopteri; Gerreiformes; Gerreidae
Description: partial 12S ribosomal RNA
Rfam family: Bacterial small subunit ribosomal RNA
Source: RNAcentral
CUGGGAUUAGAUACCCCACUAUGCUUAGCCCUAAACACAGAUAAGGUCUUACCUUUGACUUAUCCGCCCGGGUACUACGAGCGCUAGCUUCAAACCCAAAGGACUUGGCGGUGCUUCAAACCCGUCUAGAGGAGCCUGUCCUAUAACCGAUGGUCCCCGUUUAACCUCACCCCCCCUCGUCCCCUAUCCGCCUAUAUACCGCCGUCGCAAGCUUACCCUGUGAAGGAGCUACAGUAAGCCCAAUUGGCAUACCCUAAAACGUCAGGUCGAGGUGUAGCUUAUGGGGGGGGAAGAGAUGGGCUACAUUCCCUAAUACAGGGCACACGAACGAUGACUUGAAAUAUACAUUUGAAGUUGGAUUUAGUAGUAAGCAGAGAAUAGAGCGCCCUGCUGAAACCGGCAAUGAAGCGCGUACACACCGCCCGUC